RNAcentral lists this ribosomal RNA (1449 nucleotides) under uncultured organism. RNAcentral's name for it is "bacterial SSU rRNA". It matches the Rfam family "Bacterial small subunit ribosomal RNA". The record is from RNAcentral.
ACGCUGGCGGCGUGCUUAACACAUGCAAGUAAGGGGAAAGCCAUCUUCGGAUGGUGAGUAUAUGGCGAACGGGUGAGUAACGCGUAGGUAACCUGCCCUUCAGCCUGGGAUAACACUGCUAACGCGGUGCUAAUACCGGAUGGUGCUUUUCUGUCACCUGGCGGAGGAGUUAAAGCGGGCUUUGGCUCGUACUGAAGGAUGGACCUGCGUCUCAUUAGCUAGUUGGCGGGGUAACGGCCCACCAAGGCCACGAUGGGUAGCCGACCUGAGAGGGUGAUCGGCCACACUGGGACUGAGAUACGGCCCAGACUCCUACGGGAGGCAGCAGUGAGGAAUAUUGCGCAAUGGGCGAAAGCCUGACGCAGCAACGCCGUGUGCGGGAUGAAGCUUUUCGGAGUGUAAACCGCUGUUAACAGGGACGAAUACUCUUAAUUCGAAUAGGGUUAAGGGAUGACGGUACCUGUAGAGGAAGCCCCGGCUAACUCCGUGCCAGCAGCCGCGGUAACACGGGGGGGGCAAGCGUUGUCCGGAAUUAUUGGGCGUAAAGGGCGCGUAGGCGGGCUGAUCAGUCAGAGGUGAAAGUUUGCGGCUUAACCGUAAAUGUGCCUUUGAUACUGUCAGUCUUGAGUACGGAAGAGGGAAGUGGAAUUCCUGGUGUAGCGGUGAAAUGCGUAGAUAUCAGGAAGAACACCGGUGGCGAAGGCGGCUUCCUGGUCCGUAACUGACGCUGAGGCGCGAAAGCGUGGGUAGCGAACAGGAUUAGAUACCCUGGUAGUCCACGCCGUAAACGAUGUGCACUGGGUGUCGGCCCGUUGGGGUCGGUGCCGAAGCUAACGCGAUAAGUGCACCGCCUGGGGAGUAUGCUCGCAAGGGUGAAACUCAAAAGAAUUGACGGGGGCCCGCACAAGCGGUGGAGCAUGUGGUUUAAUUCGAUGAUACGCGAGAAACCUUACCAGGGCUUGACAUAUGUAGGACAGCGUUGGAGACAACGCCUCUCUUCGGAGCCUAUAUACAGGUGCUGCAUGGCUGUCGUCAGCUCGUGCUGUGAAGUGUUGGGUUAAGUCCCGCAACGAGCGCAACCCCUGCCAUCUGUUGCCAGCAUUUAGGAUGGGGACUCAGAUGGAACUGCCGGUGACAAACCGGAGGAAGGUGGGGACGACGUCAAGUCAUCAUGGCCCUUAUGUCCUGGGCUACACACGUGCUACAAUGAACGGUACAGAGCGCAGCAAGACCGCGAGGUCAAGCAAAUCGCAAAAAGCCGUUCUCAGUACAGAUUGGAGUCUGAAACCCGACUCCAUGAAGGUGGAAUCGCUAGUAAUCGCGCAUCAGCAUGGCGCGGUGAUACGUUCCCGGGCCUUGUACACACCGCCCGUCACGCCAUGGAAGUCGUAGCGCCCGAAGCCGGUGGCCCAAUUCUUCGGAAAGGGAGCCGUCGAAGGUGAGACCGAU